RNAcentral lists this ribosomal RNA (487 nucleotides) under Salmonella enterica subsp. enterica serovar Derby. RNAcentral's name for it is "partial 23S ribosomal RNA". It matches the Rfam family "Bacterial large subunit ribosomal RNA", at positions 705 to 1190 of the family's 2925-position model. Lineage: Bacteria; Pseudomonadati; Pseudomonadota; Gammaproteobacteria; Enterobacterales; Enterobacteriaceae. RNAcentral also lists the same sequence under 7 other names. The record is from RNAcentral.
GGGUAUAGACCCGAAACCCGGUGAUCUAGCCAUGGGCAGGUUGAAGGUUGGGUAACACUAACUGGAGGACCGAACCGACUAAUGUUGAAAAAUUAGCGGAUGACCUGUGGCUGGGGGUGAAAGGCCAAUCAAACCGGGAGAUAGCUGGUUCUCCCCGAAAGCUAUUUAGGUAGCGCCUCGUGAAUUCAUCUCCGGGGGUAGAGCACUGUUUCGGCUAGGGGGCCAUCCCGGCUUACCAACCCGAUGCAAACUGCGAAUACCGGAGAAUGUUAUCACGGGAGACACACGGCGGGUGCUAACGUCCGUCGUGAAGAGGGAAACAACCCAGACCGCCAGCUAAGGUCCCAAAGUCAUGGUUAAGUGGGAAACGAUGUGGGAAGGCCCAGACAGCCAGGAUGUUGGCUUAGAAGCAGCCAUCAUUUAAAGAAAGCGUAAUAGCUCACUGGUCGAGUCGGCCUGCGCGGAAGAUGUAACGGGGCUAAACCAU